UCUGGCGUCAGGAGUGAACGCUAGCGGCAGGCUAACACAUGCAAGUCGAGGGGCAACGCGAGUAGCAAUACUUGGCGGCGACCGGCGCAAGGGUGCGUAACGCGUGAGCAACAUGCCCGUAUCAGGGGGAUAAUCCAGGGAGACUUGGUCUAAUACCCCAUAGUAAUUUUGUAAGGCAUCUUAUAAGAUUUAAAGCUUUGGUGGAUACGGAUUGGCUCGCGUGACAUUAGCUGGAUGGUAAGGUAACGGCUUACCAUGGCUAUGAUGUCUAGGGGUUCUGAGAGGAAGGUCCCCCACACUGGAACUGAGACACGGUCCAGACUCCUACGGGAGGCAGCAGUGAGGAAUAUUGGACAAUGGAUGGAAAUCUGAUCCAGCCAUGCCGCGUGAAAAGGAAGAAGGUCCUAUGGAUUGUAAACUUCUUUUGUAUGGGAGCAAUAAGGCCUACGUGUAGGUUGAUGAGAGUACCAUACGAAUAAGCACCGGCUAACUCCGUGCCAGCCGCCGC
Molecule: ribosomal RNA, 508 nt
Filed under: uncultured bacterium
Lineage: Bacteria
Description: bacterial SSU rRNA
Rfam family: Bacterial small subunit ribosomal RNA
Source: RNAcentral